Molecule: ribosomal RNA, 253 nt
Filed under: uncultured bacterium
Lineage: Bacteria
Description: partial 16S ribosomal RNA
Rfam family: Bacterial small subunit ribosomal RNA
Source: RNAcentral
UACGAAGGGGGCUAGCGUUGUUCGGAAUUACUGGGCGUAAAGCGCGUGUAGGCGGAUCUUCAAGUCAGGGGUGAAAUCCCGGGGCUCAACCUCGGAACUGCCUUUGAUACUGUAGAUCUGGAGUCCGGAAGAGGUUGGUGGAAUUCCGAGUGUAGAGGUGAAAUUCGUAGAUAUUCGGAGGAACACCAGAGGCGAAGGCGGCCAACUGGUCCGGUACUGACGCUGAGACGCGAAAGCGUGGGGAGCAAACAGG